UCAGCAUGUGUUUUUAGCUUCAUAUAUCAUGUUAGUAGCUCGAUUCAUAGAUGUGCAUUAUUUUUAAAUGAAAUCUGAAUUGGAGUUUAAAAAUGUUAGUUUUAUUAUACAUGUUGGACUUGAAAUUGACUUAGUAGAAAACCAUAGGUUCUAUACUGUCAUGUUCUAAAAACUACCAGAUUUAGUUUUAGGAGCUGUAGUUUGUUUGUAUCGCCGCAGUUUGUAGGCUGUGGAUACCCAGAAUAGUGUUGAAUGAAUUUACGCUUGUGUUGAGAUGCCGAGUUUAUUUUUACAGUAGUGUAUAGACUGUUCCGGACUGUUGGGCGCCGUUGUGGUUGAUGGUGGACCCGGUUUGCUGUUUUGCAUCAAAUUGUGCCGAGGGCAUAUUU
This 389-nucleotide long non-coding RNA is filed under the name Ananas comosus (pineapple). RNAcentral describes it as "long non-coding RNA (ACOM_LNC007026)". The record is from RNAcentral. Lineage: Eukaryota; Viridiplantae; Streptophyta; Magnoliopsida; Poales; Bromeliaceae.